CCUACGGGUGGCAGCAGUGGGGAAUAUUGGACAAUGGGCGCAAGCCUGAUCCAGCGACGCCGCGUGAAGGAAGAAGUCUUUCGGUUUGUAAACUUCUAUCAGCAGGGAAGAAAAUAACGCUACAUCACUAAGAUACCCCAGCUAACUCCGUGCGAGCAGCCGCGGUAAUACGUAGGGGGCAAGCGUUAUCCGGAUUUUCUGGGUGUAAAGGGAGCGUAGGGGGUUUAGCAAGUCAGAAGUGAAAGCCCGGGGCUCAACUCCGGGACUGCUUUUGAAAAUGUUGAACUAGAGUGCAGGAGAGGUAAGUGGAAUUCCUAGUGUAGCGGUGAAAUGCGUAGAUAUUAGGAGGAACACCAGUGGCGAAGGCGGCUUACUGGACUGUAAAUGACGCUGAGGCGCGAAAGCGUGGGGAGCAAACAGGAUUAGAUACCCGAGUAGUC
RNAcentral lists this ribosomal RNA (440 nucleotides) under uncultured bacterium. RNAcentral's name for it is "partial 16S ribosomal RNA". It matches the Rfam family "Bacterial small subunit ribosomal RNA", at positions 338 to 795 of the family's 1533-position model. The record is from RNAcentral.